This 59-nucleotide transfer RNA is filed under the name Heterocephalus glaber (naked mole-rat). It matches the Rfam family "tRNA", at positions 7 to 64 of the family's 71-position model. Rfam says of the family: Transfer RNA (tRNA) molecules are approximately 80 nucleotides in length. The record is from Rfam by way of RNAcentral. Lineage: Eukaryota; Metazoa; Chordata; Mammalia; Rodentia; Bathyergidae.
GUAGCUCAGAGGUAGAGCCUGUGUCUCACAAGUGCAAGGCCCUGGGUUCAAAUCCCAAC